RNAcentral lists this microRNA precursor (176 nucleotides) under Medicago truncatula (barrel medic). Its description in RNAcentral is "MIR2619 microRNA precursor family". It matches the Rfam family "MIR2619 microRNA precursor family". Lineage: Eukaryota; Viridiplantae; Streptophyta; Magnoliopsida; Fabales; Fabaceae. The record is from Rfam by way of RNAcentral.
AAACAGCCCCCUAUGUUUUGAUUCUUUGGCAGUUUUGGACUCUCAAGGCAAAAAAAAAAAAAAAAAAAAAAAUUGACAUGUGGCACCUCACUUAGGGUGCCACGUCAGCGUUGACCGGGUCAACAAUGGACUGGGGGUCCAAAACUGCCAAAGAAUCAAAACAUAGGGAGCUGUUU